UCAGUUGCUCAUAGGGAUUUGGGAA
Molecule: non-coding RNA, 25 nt
Filed under: Rattus norvegicus (Norway rat)
Lineage: Eukaryota; Metazoa; Chordata; Mammalia; Rodentia; Muridae
Source: RNAcentral